Molecule: ribosomal RNA, 492 nt
Filed under: uncultured bacterium
Lineage: Bacteria
Description: partial 16S ribosomal RNA
Rfam family: Bacterial small subunit ribosomal RNA
Source: RNAcentral
UAGGGAAUCUUCCACAAUGGACGCAAGUCUGAUGGAGCAACGCCGCGUGAGUGAAGAAGGUCUUCGGAUCGUAAAGCUCUGUUGUUGGUGAAGAAGGAUAGAGGCAGUAACUGGUCUUUAUUUGACGGUAAUCAACCAGAAAGUCACGGCUAACUACGUGCCAGCAGCCGCGGUAAUACGUAGGUGGCAAGCGUUGUCCGGAUUUAUUGGGCGUAAAGCGAGCGCAGGCGGAAUGAUAAGUCUGAUGUGAAAGCCCACGGCUCAACCGUGGAACUGCAUCGGAAACUGUCAUUCUUGAGUGCAGAAGAGGAGAGUGGAACUCCAUGUGUAGCGGUGGAAUGCGUAGAUAUAUGGAAGAACACCAGUGGCGAAGGCGGCUCUCUGGUCUGCAACUGACGCUGAGGCUCGAAAGCAUGGGUAGCGAACAGGAUUAGAUACCCUGGUAGUCCAUGCCGUAAACGAUGAGCGCUAGGUGUUGGGGACUUUCCGGUU